UUAAGCGACUAAGCGUACACGGUGGAUGCCCUGGCAGUCAGAGGCGAUGAAGGACGUGCUAAUCUGCGAUAAGCGUCGGUGAGGUGAUAUGAACCGUUAUAACCGGCGAUUUCCGAAUGGGGAAACCCAGUGUGUUUCGACACACUAUCAUUAACUGAAUCCAUAGGUUAAUGAGGCGAACCGGGGGAACUGAAACAUCUAAGUACCCCGAGGAAAAGAAAUCAACCGAGAUUCCCCCAGUAGCGGCGAGCGAACGGGGAGGAGCCCAGAGCCUGAAUCAGUGUGUGUGUUAGUGGAAGCGUCUGGAAAGGCGCGCGAUACAGGGUGACAGCCCCGUACACAAAAAUGCACAUAUUGUGAGCUCGAUGAGUAGGGCGGGACACGUGGUAUCCUGUCUGAAUAUGGGGGGACCAUCCUCCAAGGCUAAAUACUCCUGACUGACCGAUAGUGAACCAGUACCGUGAGGGAAAGGCGAAAAGAACCCCGGCGAGGGGAGUGAAAAAGAACCUGAAACCGUGUACGUACAAGCAGUGGGAGCCUCUUAAUGGGGUGACUGCGUACCUUUUGUAUAAUGGGUCAGCGACUUAUAUUCUGUAGCAAGGUUAACCGAAUAGGGGAGCCGAAGGGAAACCGAGUCUUAACUGGGCGUUAAGUUGCAGGGUAUAGACCCGAAACCCGGUGAUCUAGCCAUGGGCAGGUUGAAGGUUGGGUAACACUAACUGGAGGACCGAACCGACUAAUGUUGAAAAAUUAGCGGAUGACUUGUGGCUGGGGGUGAAAGGCCAAUCAAACCGGGAGAUAGCUGGUUCUCCCCGAAAGCUAUUUAGGUAGCGCCUCGUGAAUUCAUCUCCGGGGGUAGAGCACUGUUUCGGCAAGGGGGUCAUCCCGACUUACCAACCCGAUGCAAACUGCGAAUACCGGAGAAUGUUAUCACGGGAGACACACGGCGGGUGCUAACGUCCGUCGUGAAGAGGGAAACAACCCAGACCGCCAGCUAAGGUCCCAAAGUCAUGGUUAAGUGGGAAACGAUGUGGGAAGGCCCAGACAGCCAGGAUGUUGGCUUAGAAGCAGCCAUCAUUUAAAGAAAGCGUAAUAGCUCACUGGUCGAGUCGGCCUGCGCGGAAGAUGUAACGGGGCUAAACCAUGCACCGAAGCUGCGGCAGCGACACUAUGUGUUGUUGGGUAGGGGAGCGUUCUGUAAGCCUGUGAAGGUAGCCUGUGAGGGUUGCUGGAGGUAUCAGAAGUGCGAAUGCUGACAUAAGUAACGAUAAAGCGGGUGAAAAGCCCGCUCGCCGGAAGACCAAGGGUUCCUGUCCAACGUUAAUCGGGGCAGGGUGAGUCGAUCCCUAAGGCGAGGCCGAAAGGCGUAGUCGAUGGGAAACAGGUUAAUAUUCCUGUACUUGGUGUUACUGCGAAGGGGGGACGGAGAAGGCUAUGUUGGCCGGGCGACGGUUGUCCCGGUUUAAGCGUGUAGGCUGGUUUUCCAGGCAAAUCCGGAAAACCAAGGCUGAGGCGUGAUGACGAGGCACUACGGUGCUGAAGCGACAAAUGCCCUGCUUCCAGGAAAAGCCUCUAAGCAUCAGGUAACAUCAAAUCGUACCCCAAACCGACACAGGUGGUCAGGUAGAGAAUACCAAGGCGCUUGAGAGAACUCGGGUGAAGGAACUAGGCAAAAUGGUGCCGUAACUUCGGGAGAAGGCACGCUGAUAUGUAGGUGAAGCGACUUGCUCGUGGAGCUGAAAUCAGUCGAAGAUACCAGCUGGCUGCAACUGUUUAUUAAAAACACAGCACUGUGCAAACACGAAAGUGGACGUAUACGGUGUGACGCCUGCCCGGUGCCGGAAGGUUAAUUGAUGGGGUUAGCGGUAACGCGAAGCUCUUGAUCGAAGCCCCGGUAAACGGCGGCCGUAACUAUAACGGUCCUAAGGUAGCGAAAUUCCUUGUCGGGUAAGUUCCGACCUGCACGAAUGGCGUAAUGAUGGCCAGGCUGUCUCCACCCGAGACUCAGUGAAAUUGAACUCGCUGUGAAGAUGCAGUGUACCCGCGGCAAGACGGAAAGACCCCGUGAACCUUUACUAUAGCUUGACACUGAACAUUGAGCCUUGAUGUGUAGGAUAGGUGGGAGGCUUUGAAGUGUGGACGCCAGUCUGCAUGGAGCCGACCUUGAAAUACCACCCUUUAAUGUUUGAUGUUCUAACGUUGGCCCGUAAUCCGGGUUGCGGACAGUGUCUGGUGGGUAGUUUGACUGGGGCGGUCUCCUCCUAAAGAGUAACGGAGGAGCACGAAGGUUGGCUAAUCCUGGUCGGACAUCAGGAGGUUAGUGCAAUGGCAUAAGCCAGCUUGACUGCGAGCGUGACGGCGCGAGCAGGUGCGAAAGCAGGUCAUAGUGAUCCGGUGGUUCUGAAUGGAAGGGCCAUCGCUCAACGGAUAAAAGGUACUCCGGGGAUAACAGGCUGAUACCGCCCAAGAGUUCAUAUCGACGGCGGUGUUUGGCACCUCGAUGUCGGCUCAUCACAUCCUGGGGCUGAAGUAGGUCCCAAGGGUAUGGCUGUUCGCCAUUUAAAGUGGUACGCGAGCUGGGUUUAGAACGUCGUGAGACAGUUCGGUCCCUAUCUGCCGUGGGCGCUGGAGAACUGAGGGGGGCUGCUCCUAGUACGAGAGGACCGGAGUGGACGCAUCACUGGUGUUCGGGUUGUCAUGCCAAUGGCACUGCCCGGUAGCUAAAUGCGGAAGAGAUAAGUGCUGAAAGCAUCUAAGCACGAAACUUGCCCCGAGAUGAGUUCUCCCUGACUCCUUGAGAGUCCUGAAGGAACGUUGAAGACGACGACGUUGAUAGGCCGGGUGUGUAAGCGCAGCGAUGCGUUGAGCUAACCGGUACUAAUGAACCGUGAGGCUUAACCUU
This 2902-nucleotide ribosomal RNA is filed under the name Escherichia coli HVH 175 (4-3405184). RNAcentral describes it as "bacterial LSU rRNA". It matches the Rfam family "Bacterial large subunit ribosomal RNA". Lineage: Bacteria; Pseudomonadati; Pseudomonadota; Gammaproteobacteria; Enterobacterales; Enterobacteriaceae. The record is from RNAcentral.